GUUCACAACAAUUAACAUCACCCGUAGCCCGUGAAGUUCUCUUCUCCCCAUAGUUUAUUUACUUGUCUUCUAUAUAAAGGGCUAUAAAAAGUUGAGCAAAGUCAUCCCGUGCCAUUCUAACUAGAAGCAAUACUGAUGGCCCAAAACAAGAUGAUUGUGAUGGUUCUCCUCCUUUCCACCUUUCUUGUGGUGGCAAGAUCGUUGUGGGUUCCAGAAGAACCCUCAAAUGCGGAUGACAUAAGAGGUGCUUGCAUCGAGGAGUGCACCAAAGAAAAUAAGGCUCCUGGCGACAAGAAGACAUGCGAAGUGUUGUGCACCAAGCUCACAAAAAAGCCUAGCGAAGAAGGCAAACAUGAUUGAUGAAGUAGAACUCCGAUAAUAUAUACACUAGUGGAUCAGUGGUCAUCUUUGUAGCCAUGUCUACCACACGAUGGCCUUGAUUAUAUUGUCUUAUUGUUUUGUUUUUGGUUUCCAAUAGUAUCCUAAUUCCUUGUUCAUGUAACCUAAUGUCACUCAAAGCAUUUUAUAUGCCUCACUUAAUUAAAUAAAUACAAAGGCAAAGGCAUGUUAUGUUUUGAUCUAAUUGGAAUAUCAUAGGUCAAACCGAUCUAUAAAAAGAAUGGCAAAGAAUCUUAUAUAUAGAUAUGUUCAAUGUGCAAAUAUGAUCAAAUACUGAAAAAGUUGAUACCAAUAUUAGUUGUUGUUGAGUUUCUCACAACAUUUUGAGUAAAUCUCUUGAAAAGCAAAACGUGAACGAUAUGGUAGAACCCCACCGUAAUAUAUCGUGGUGUAUCAAUGGUCUUUAUGUAGCCAUGUCUAUCACAAAAUGGCCUUGAUUAAAUUAUCUUAUUGUUUGUGUUUUGGUUCCACAAGUAUCCUAACUUCUUAUUCAUGUACCCUAAUGUCACUCAAUGCAUUUUCUAUGACUUACUUAACUAAAUAAAUACGAAGGCAAUGGCCUAAUUUUUACGAUAUAAUUGAAAUAUCAUAGGUUGGUAUACAUCCCAAAAUUUCUAAUUUUAUGUUGCAAAUAUAAAACAAUAAAAACAAUUUUAAUCUUUUUAUACAACUUUUCAAGAUUAGAUUAUAGGUGCACAUGUUUAGGUAUAAUAAACUAUUUUUUUGUUUCAAACGAUAAUAACAUGUAAAAACGUGAUAAUAGUACGAAAACUGCGAAUGGUGCAUUUUGACCAUCAUAGUAGCCUCUCUGUAGCUCUGUGUUUUUCCAAUGUUAAUGAUCAUGCACACACCCACUUAUAUGUUGGUUGUUAUCCACCUAGAUGAGCAAUGUGAUACUGUCACACUCGGAUUUAAGGACAAAUCCAGAUGCAUCUCAAAUGUGUGCUAGGAUCAAGUACCAUACAUAUGAUGACUCAUGGUACAUAAAUCAAUGUCACAUCUUUAUUAUAUAAUAGAAGUUCUAUACAAAAUAACUAUAUAAAUACAUCAUAAGAUGACUAAGAUCUUCCACAACUAUAGCUGAUUGGGAGACGAUGACCUGGACCCCUCCGAACUCAUCUUAGCAUCUUUCGGGCUCCUCAUCUUGUGGUACCUGUUCUUGACCUGGUGUGAUUAUAGCAAGGGUGAGCUCCAUAUGGUCAUCACAUAGCAAGUGUGGGGAAAAGUAUAGUGUAAGGCUUACCAAAGAAAAUGGUUAAGGAUGAGCAUUGCUUUUAAUUUUGUUGGUCCAAAUUUUAUUAGCAAUUACUAAGUAUAAGUGAAUACCAACCCAAUUAAAUAAUUGAUAAGAAAUAAAUACCCACAAUGCAUGGAGUUGUAUUUUGAGAAAACCAAGGAGAUAUGAUUACCUUCUUGCACUACUAGUAUAUCAAAUUGCAGAUGUAUGUAUAUUAUUUUUGUAUCUAGAUCUUUCCAUGUGAAGGGCAAGCCUAGUGCGUUGGUGACAGCUGUCCCACUUAGUCGCCAAGUUGUAAGUUAUUGACCAUUUCCUUAUUUAAUAUUAUGAUCUUAGAUUUAUUUGUUCUUAAACUGUAUUUGUUUCAAGCCUUGAACUGGUCACAUCCAUUGUAACCUCAAGUUUAUAACACCGUUAAUUUACAAGACAUAUGGAUAAUAUUAUGCAAGUUGUUGCUUCUCCAGCAAGUCUGAUGCGUGUGGCUUUGGCAUGUUGCUGAUUUAGUUUCCAUAUUUAGCAAUUUAGGGACUAAAGUGGAAUAAAAUGGACGGACUAAAAAUUAGUCCCUAGAAACCAAACACCCCCUAAGUUAUCUGGUUUAUCAUGAAUGUAGCGCCAAAAACUACUAAACUUCAUUUUUUAUCUAAGUGAGGGGCAGCACAUGUCAGCGUCAACCGGUAAUCACUGUCUAUUUCAAGGUGGCUCGAUGGUAGAUCAUCCACCAAUGAAUAAUGUUAGCUAGCGACAACACUAGGAGAGUGGAGGUGACCAAUUUUGGGUUGCCCGGUGACUCUGCUAACUCGGGCAGGUACUGACUGGUCUCAUUACUCGCAUGUCUGGACGAUAUCCGAUGACUCUAGCUAAAAAUAUACAAAUGUUUGCAUGUCUGCCACACGACACUUAAAUCUCUGGUCUCCCGGCAAAAAAUGAAGAUCAAACUAGCAAUUAGAAAUUGUACGUUCACAACAAUUAACAUCACCCGUAGCCCGUGAAGUUCUCUUCUCCCCAUAGUUUAUUUACUUGUCUUCUAUAUAAAGGGCUAUAAAAAGUUGAGCAAAGUCAUCCCGUGCCAUUCUAACUAGAAGCAAUACUGAUGGCCCAAAACAAGAUGAUUGUGAUGGUUCUCCUCCUUUCCACCUUUCUUGUGGUGGCAAGAUCGUUGUGGGUUCCAGAAGAACCCUCAAAUGCGGAUGACAUAAGAGGUGCUUGCAUCGAGGAGUGCACCAAAGAAAAUAAGGCUCCUGGCGACAAGAAGACAUGCGAAGUGUUGUGCACCAAGCUCACAAAAAAGCCUAGCGAAGAAGGCAAACAUGAUUGAUGAAGUAGAACUCCGAUAAUAUAUACACUAGUGGAUCAGUGGUCAUCUUUGUAGCCAUGUCUACCACACGAUGGCCUUGAUUAUAUUGUCUUAUUGUUUUGUUUUUGGUUUCCAAUAGUAUCCUAAUUCCUUGUUCAUGUAACCUAAUGUCACUCAAAGCAUUUUAUAUGCCUCACUUAAUUAAAUAAAUACAAAGGCAAAGGCAUGUUCUGUUUUGAUCUAAUUGGAAUAUCAUAGGUCAAACCGAUCUAUAAAAAGAAUGGCAAAGAAUCUUAUAUAUAGAUAUGUUCAAUGUGCAAAUAUGAUCAAAUACUGAAAAAGUUGAUACCAAUAUUAGUUAUUGUUGAGUUUCUCACAACAUUUUGAGUAAAUCUCUUGAAAAGCAAAACGUGAACGAUAUGGUAGAACCCCACCGUUAUAUAUCGUGGUGUAUCAAUGGUCUUUAUGUAGCCAUGUCUAUCACAAAAUGGCCUUGAUUAAAUUAUCUUAUUGUUUUUGUUUUGGUUCCACAAGUAUCCUAACUUCUUAUUCAUGUACCCUAAUGUCACUCAUUGCAUUUUCUAUGACUUACUUAACUAAAUAAAUACGAAGGCAAUGGCCUAAUUUUUACGAUAUAAUUGAAAUAUCAUAGGUUGGUAUACAUCCCAAAAUUUCUAAUUUUGUGUUGCAAAUAUAAAACAAUAAAAACAAUUUUAAUCUUUUUAUACAACUUUUCAAGAUUAGAUUAUAGGUGCACAUGUUUAGGUAUAAUAAACUAUUUUUUUUUGUUUCAAACGAUAAUAACAUGUAAAAACGUGAUAAUAGCACGAAAACUGCGAACAGUGCAUUAUGUCCAUCAUAGUAGCCUCUCUGUAGCUCCGUGUUUUUCCAAUGUUAAUGAUCAUGCACAUGCCCACUUAUAUGUUGGUUGUAAUCCACCUAUAUGAGCAUUGUGAUACUGUCACACUCGGAUUUAAGGACAAAUUCAGAUGCAUCUCAAAUGUGUGCUUGGAUCAAGUAUCAUACAUAUGAUGACUAAUAGUACAGAAAUCAAUGUCACAUCUUUAUUAUAUAAUAGAAGUUCUAUACAAAAUAACUAUAUAAAUACAUCAUAAGACGACUACGAUCUUCCACAACUAUAGUUGACUGGGAGACGAUAACCUAGACCCCUCUGAACUCAUCUUAGCAUCCUUCAUGCUCUUCAGUUUGCGAUACCUGUUCUUGACCUGGUGUGGUUAUAGCAAGGGUGAGCUCCCAUAUGGUCAUCACACAACAAGUGUGGGGAAAAGUAUAAUGUAAGGCUUACCAAGGAAAAUGGUUAAGGAUGAGCAUUGCUUUUAAUUUUGUAGGUCCAAAUUUUAUUAGCAAUUUCAAAUAUAAGUGAAUACCAACCCAAUUAAAUAAUUGAUCAGAAAUAAAUACCCACAAUGCAUGGAGUUGUAUUUUGAGAAAAUCAUGGAGAUAUGAUUACCUUCUUGCACUACUAGUAUAUCAAAUUGCAGAUGUAUGUAUAUUAUUUUUGUAUCGAGAUCUUUCCAUGUGAAGGGCAAGCCUAGUGCGUUGGUGACAGCUGUCCCACUUAGUCGCCAAGUUGUAAUUUAUUGACCAUUUCCAUAUUUAAUAUUAUGGUCUUAGAUUUAUUUGUUCUUAAACUGUAUUUGUUUCAAGCCUUGAACUGGUCACAUCCAUUGUAACCUCAAGUUCAUAACACAAUUAAUUUACAAGACAUAUGGAUAAUAUUAUGCAAGUUGUUGCUUCUCCAUCAAGUCUGAUUCGUGUGGCUUUGGCAUGUUGCUGAUUUAGUUUCCAUAUUUAGCAAUUUAGGGACUAAAGUGGAAUAAAAUGGAGGGACUAAAAAUUAGUCUCUAGGAUCCAAACACCCCAUAAGUUAUCUGGUUUAUCAUGAAUGUAGCGCCAAAAAGUACUAAACUUCAUUUUUAUUUUUAUCUAGGUGAGGGGCAGCGCAUGUCAGCAUCAACAGGUAAUCGCUGUCUAUUUCAAGGUGGUUUGAUGGUAGAUCAUCCACCAAUGAAUAAUGUUAGCUAGCGGCAACUCUAGGAGAACGGAGGUGACCAAUUUUGGGUUGCCCGGUGACUCUGCUACCUCAGGCAGGUACUGACUGGUCUCAUUACUCGCAUGUCUGGACGAUAUCCGAUGACUCUAGCUAAAAAUAUACAAAUGUUUGCAUGUGUGCCACACGACACUCAAAUCUCUGGUCUCCCGGCAAAAACGAAGAUCAAACUAGCAAUUAGAAAUUGUACGUUCACAACAAUUAACAUCACCCGUAGCCCGUGAAGUUCUCUUCUCCCCAUAGUUUAUUUACUUUUCUUCUAUGUAAAGGGCUAAUGAAAAGUUGAGCAAAGUCAUCCCAUGACAUUCUAAAUAGAAGCACUACUGAUGGCCCAAAACAAGAUGAUUGUGGUGGUUCUCCUCCUUGCCACCUUUCUUGUGGUGGCAAGAUCGUUGUGGGUUCCAGAAGAACCCUCAAAUGCGGAUGACAUAAGAGGUGCUUGCAUCGAGGAGUGCACCAAAGAAAAUAAGGCUCCUGGCGACAAGAAGACAUGCGAAGUGUUGUGCACCAAGCUCACAAAAAAGCCUAGCGAAGAAGGCAAACAUGAUUGAUGAAGUAGCACUCCGAUAAUAUAUACCCUAGUGGAUGAGUGGUCAUCUUUGUAGCCAUGUCUGCCACACGAUGGCCUUGAUUAUAUUGUCUUAUUGUUUUGUUUUUGGUUUCCACUAGUAUCCUAAUUCCUUGUUCAUGUAACCUAAUGUCACUCAAAGCAUUUUAUAUGCUUCACUUAAUUAAAUAAAUACAAAGGCAAAGGCAUGUUCUGUUUUGGUC
RNAcentral lists this long non-coding RNA (5775 nucleotides) under Zea mays. Its description in RNAcentral is "long non-coding RNA (ZMAY_LNC001351)". The record is from RNAcentral. Lineage: Eukaryota; Viridiplantae; Streptophyta; Magnoliopsida; Poales; Poaceae.